UACGUAGGUGGCAAGCGUUGUCCGGAUUUACUGGGCGUAAAGGGCGUGCAGGCGGUUUUUUAAGUUCAGGGUGAAAGCUCCCGGCUCAACUGGGAGAGGUCCUUGGAUACUGGCAGACUUGAGGAGGGUAGAGGAGAGUGGAAUUCCCGGUGUAGUGGUGAUAUGCGUAGAUAUCGGGAGGAACACCAGUGGCGAAGGCGGCUCUCUGGGCCCUACCUGACGCUGAGACGCGAAAGCGUGGGGAGCGAACAGG
RNAcentral lists this ribosomal RNA (253 nucleotides) under uncultured bacterium. Its description in RNAcentral is "partial 16S ribosomal RNA". It matches the Rfam family "Bacterial small subunit ribosomal RNA", at positions 524 to 776 of the family's 1533-position model. The record is from RNAcentral.